GUUCCUGCCACUCCUUCAUGUCCCUCACUGUGUGCUUCCCGGGCUAGGAGGGUGGAGAUCCAGGCCUGGAACGGUAGCAGGGGAACAGCUCUGUGGUCUUCUCUGAAGUGAUGACACCAGAUGAAGCCGUCUUAGAUUGCUGAAGCGCCUUUCGUCCAGUAGCUUUUGGACUGCUGCUGCUGCAGGUGGUCUUCUGAAUCUGGACUCUGUUUCUUGGACUCUUUUUGGGUCCUGUGCUUUCUGU
Long non-coding RNA from Entelurus aequoreus (snake pipefish), 244 nucleotides. RefSeq lists it as uncharacterized. The record is from RefSeq and is a predicted model, not a curated record. The transcript is spliced from 3 exons. Lineage: Eukaryota; Metazoa; Chordata; Actinopteri; Syngnathiformes; Syngnathidae.